This 503-nucleotide ribosomal RNA is filed under the name uncultured bacterium. RNAcentral describes it as "bacterial SSU rRNA". It matches the Rfam family "Bacterial small subunit ribosomal RNA", at positions 8 to 486 of the family's 1533-position model. The record is from RNAcentral.
AGAGUUUGAUCAUGGCUCAGAACGAACGUUGGCGGCGUGCUUAACACAUGCAAGUCGAACGAGAAAGUUUUCUCCGGAGAACGAGUAAAGUGGCGCACGGGUGAGUAACGCGUAAGUAAUCUACCCUUGCAUCUGGAAUAACUACGGGAAGCUGUAGCUAAUACCGGAUACGUUCAUAGAGUUACGACUCUAUGAAGAAAGAUGACCUUUUCUUGAAAGUUAUCGUGCAGGGAGGAGCUUGCGUACCAUUAGCUAGUUGGUAGGGUAAAGGCCUACCAAGGCAACGAUGGUUAGCGGGUCUGAGAGGAUGAUCCGCCACACUGGAACUGGAACACGGACCAGACUCCUACGGGAGGCAGCAGUGAGGAAUAUUGCGCAAUGGGGGCAACCCUGACGCAGCGACGCCGCGUGGAUGAUGAAGGCCUUCGGGUCGUAAAAUCCUGUCAGAUGGGAAGAAAUGUAUAUAGGAAUAAUACCCUAUGUGCUUGACGGUACCAUCAAAG